UGGAUCGAUGAUGUUCGCUGUUGGCGGUGGCGUAUGAGUCUUCUACGAUGAAUACGUGUGAAUCUGAGGUCCAA
Molecule: small nucleolar RNA, 74 nt
Organism: Sorex araneus (European shrew)
Lineage: Eukaryota; Metazoa; Chordata; Mammalia; Eulipotyphla; Soricidae
Source: Ensembl